UACGUAGGGGGCAAGCGUUGUCCGGAUUUAUUGGGCGUAAAGAGCGUGUAGGCGGCCUGGUAGGUCAGCUGUGAAAACUCGAGGCUCAACCUCGAGACGCCGGUUGAAACCAUCAGGCUAGAGUCCGGAAGAGGAGAGUGGAAUUCCUGGUGUAGCGGUGAAAUGCGCAGAUAUCAGGAAGAACACCCGUGGCGAAGGCGGUUCUCUGGGACGGUACUGACGCUGAGACGCGAAAGCGUGGGGAGCGAACAGG
Molecule: ribosomal RNA, 253 nt
Filed under: uncultured bacterium
Lineage: Bacteria
Description: partial 16S ribosomal RNA
Rfam family: Bacterial small subunit ribosomal RNA
Source: RNAcentral